GUCCAGCUGAUGAAUUCAAAAUAGGACAAAGCGCGCGUCCUGGAU
Molecule: non-coding RNA, 45 nt
Organism: Schistosoma haematobium
Lineage: Eukaryota; Metazoa; Platyhelminthes; Trematoda; Strigeidida; Schistosomatidae
Source: Rfam